CGGAAUAUAGUUCAAUGGUAGAACGUUUGAUGAUCAGAAGAUGCAGGUUCGAUUCCUGAUAUUCCGG
RNAcentral lists this transfer RNA (67 nucleotides) under Caudoviricetes sp. Its description in RNAcentral is "tRNA-OTHER". It matches the Rfam family "tRNA". From Rfam's summary of the family: Transfer RNA (tRNA) molecules are approximately 80 nucleotides in length. Lineage: Duplodnaviria; Heunggongvirae; Uroviricota; Caudoviricetes. The record is from RNAcentral.